UUAGCCGGCGAUUCAAGAGUACGUGAAACCGUCCAGGGGUAAACCUGCGAAACUCGAAUGAACGAACGGGGAGAUUCAUCGUCACUCCACGGCGCACGGGCGCGGUACGGAUGCCCCGCGGUCUCGGCCGCGGGGCACCGCCCUCGUCCGUCGCGUCCGGGGACGGCGUGCACUUCUCCCUUAGUAAUACAUCGCGACCCGUUCGAUGUCGGUCUAAGUGCCCCCCGGGAGUCCGCGCGCCGCGCGAGCGGCGCGUUGACCGGCGGGUGCCACCGACCGGCCGUCGGACGGUAGAUCUGAUGAAACGCUCACGCGCUUGUCGCGUCCGGCCCGACGCAAGGCAACGCCGUAUCCCCCCUCCUGCCCGUGCGCGGAGGAGGGUGCUGCGCGCCUGUUGUCGCAGCCGUGCUGUCUCGGACCGUGUGCGUAUCCGUCUGCGAUGUUACCGUUUCGGGCACUCGCAGGACCCGUCUUGAAACACGGCCCAAAA
Molecule: ribosomal RNA, 490 nt
Filed under: Bupalus piniaria (bordered white moth)
Lineage: Eukaryota; Metazoa; Arthropoda; Insecta; Lepidoptera; Geometridae
Description: eukaryotic LSU rRNA
Source: RNAcentral